RNAcentral lists this ribosomal RNA (186 nucleotides) under uncultured bacterium. RNAcentral's name for it is "partial 16S ribosomal RNA". It matches the Rfam family "Bacterial small subunit ribosomal RNA", at positions 1315 to 1500 of the family's 1533-position model. The record is from RNAcentral.
ACUACAUGAAGCUGGAAUCGCUAGUAAUCGCAGAUCAGAAUGCUGCGGUGAAUACGUUCCCGGGUCUUGUACACACCGCCCGUCACACCAUGGGAGUUGGAAAUGCCCGAAGCCAGUGACCCAACCGUAAGGAGGGAGCUGUCGAAGGUGGAGCCGAUGACUGGGGUGAAGUCGUAACAAGGUAUC